This 706-nucleotide ribosomal RNA is filed under the name uncultured crenarchaeote. RNAcentral's name for it is "bacterial SSU rRNA". It matches the Rfam family "Archaeal small subunit ribosomal RNA", at positions 5 to 717 of the family's 1478-position model. The record is from RNAcentral. Lineage: Archaea; Thermoproteati; Thermoproteota.
CGGUUGAUCCUGCCGGACCUUACUGCUAUCGGAUUGAUACUAAGCCAUGCGAGUCAUUGUAGCAAUACAAGGCAGGCAGCUCAGUAACGCGUAGUCAAUCUACCCUAUGGACGGGAAUAACCUCGGGAAACUGAGAAUAAUGCCCGAUAGAGCAUUAUGCCUGGAAUGGUUUAUGUUUCAAAUGAUUUAUCGCCAUAGGAUGGGACUGCGGCCUAUCAGUUUGUUGGUGAGGUAAUGGCCCACCAAGACUAUUACAGGUACGGGCUCUGAGAGGAGUAGCCCGGAGAUGGGUACUGAGACACGGACCCAGGCCCUAUGGGGCGCAGCAGGCGAGAAAACUUUGCAAUGUGCGAAAGCACGACAAGGUUAAUCCGAGUGGUUUCUGCUAAAGAAACCUUUUGUCAGUCCUAGAAACACUAACGAAUAAGGGGUGGGCAAGUUCUGGUGUCAGCCGCCGCGGUAAAACCAGCACCUCAAGUGGUCAGGAUGAUUAUUGGGCCUAAAGCAUCCGUAGCUCGUUUUGUAAGUUUUCGGUUAAAUCCAUGCGCUUAACGUAUGGGCUGCCGGGAAUACUGCAUAACUAGGAAGUGGGAGAGGUAGACGGUACUCGGGAGGAAGGGGUAAAAUCCUUUGAUCUCUUGAUGACCACCUGUGGCGAAGGCGGUCUACCAGAACACGUUCGACGGUGAGGGAUGAAAGCUGGGGG